Molecule: long non-coding RNA, 3867 nt
Filed under: Mus musculus (house mouse)
Lineage: Eukaryota; Metazoa; Chordata; Mammalia; Rodentia; Muridae
Description: RIKEN cDNA 9630014M24 gene
Source: RNAcentral
UUGCUCCUCCUGGGGCCGUCGUUCUUUUACAAAGAGGGGUGGAGGUUGUUGUUCCUUUUUUUUUUUUUUUUUCCUUUUUCUUUGUAAUGAAUGGAGGGCGGCGGCGACUGCAGCAGCUGGCUUAGCUGCGUGGGUUGUACCCUCCUCCCAGCCUGCGAGAGGAGGGCCUUCUCAGGGUCACCUGAGAACACAGCUGGUUUCUGGAGUAUUCUUCUCCAUGUCCAGGAUUUCCUCUGUGCUUCAGGGAAAGGGAGACGCCUGCCUCUGGGACAGCAUACAGAACAGGUUCAGGAAGAGACAGCCCAGGGACCCUUCUCUUCUAUUUUGAGGUUGAGCACAUCACCCUUUCGAACGGGUCCUUUGACAUUUCAGAUGAAAGAACGGCUGGUGUCAUUCAUAGAUUCCACUCCCACCUGCGCGCACUGUCCUUGCGAACCGGUCCUGCCCAGCACUUUGGUUACCCUAGCCAGCUUGAUGGUCUGCACACGCACAACUCGUGUCCAUGAUGGCGGCGAUCUGUUGGAGAGCCAAUCUUAGUAUUUCAGAGGCAGAGACAGACAAAUCUCUUGUGAGUUGGAGGCCAGCCUGGUCUAUGUAUUGAGUUCCAGGUCAGCCAGGGCUACAUAGUGAGACCUUGUAUCAAACAAACAAACAGAUGGGACUUUUGCAUUGUUUUGCUUUUUUGAGUCAAGGUCUCUGUGUAGCCCAAGCCGGGCUUUAAGAUGCCCUGUUGCUGCCCCAGCCUCUGGAGUGCUGAGAUGACAGGUGCAGACUGCCAUACCUGUCCAGUGCUGUGCCCAUAGGGUGGCAUGGCACUUUUGGCAUGUGGGUUACUCAGUUAUGUUAAUCAGGACACAGAAACAGUAUGUCCGUAACUGAGACUAUACGCCCCGGUUGACUGUUUAAUUAAUUGACUGCUUAAUGUCUAAGGUGGAAAUCCCAACUCCAUUGUGUGACUUUGGAUGUGUCAGCAAGAUAGCGCCAAGGUCAUAGAGAAAAGGUCUGUCUUGACCCAGAGCACACUGGGGACUGCCUGUAUUCUAUUCAGAGCCAAAGGUGAAGAUGGCCCAUCUGUCUCUCCUGUCAAGGGGAGUUUAACCAGCACUGGCUGAGUUAUCCUUUGGCCAGGGUUAUGGAGAGAGGUUCCUGGGUAUUGCUUCUGGAAUUGGUUCUGAUCAUCCCUUCCAGAGAGUCUGUACCUUUCCCCACCUCCCCAGCCUGAGUCCCUGAGCUGCUGUGAGGUUAGGAGUCAGCGGAAAGAUCAAAGGUGAAUGAUUUUUGCGCCAUAAAGUAGCCUGGAAAACAAGUUUGGGAGAUGAAUGACUUUGAGUCUGUGGGGCUUAGCUGGGCACUUCUGAGAAUUAUUGACAUUCCUGCUUGGGAGUUCUAGAGGCCUGCACCACUCAGAGGCCUUCCCCCAUAUCUCCCCUCUAUUCCAAGGGGACCACAGAUUAUGGGAUGGUCACCCUGUGUCUCAGGACCCUGGAGAUGAAGCCAGAGUGAGCCUUGUCCCUAUAUGAUAGGCUGUGAUCCCAGGGCCUGAGCAGGUGUAACUUGCAAAGCAGGGAAGAGAUUGCAGUGUGGUUUCCCACGCCUCUGUCCUGGUUCUCCUUUGCCUGGCAGAUGAGCUCUGCACCAGCAUCCACGGUGGCUCAUUUUGUGUUGACUGUGCCUGUACAGGCCGGCUUGGGUCUGCAAUGCCUCCCUUUUUUCAUGAGGCCUCUAGUGGGACCGGCUGCAGGUGUUCGAGUCUGCCCUGUCCUUUAAAGACAUAAGUAGGGUGUGCCAGCCUCUGCCUUCAGCACCACCGCUCCACUCCACCUCAUGCCCCCACCCCACCAGCCCUGGGAUAAUGUUUAUAUACAAAUUCUGGCUUUGAUUUCCACCCAGGAAAACACCAGCUGCUAUUGGAAAUCUUUUUGCUUCUGAUAGAAAGCAGGACAGCCGGGCUUCCUGCGGGCCUACUCGGGCUUCUCUCGAGGGUGUUAGGAAACAGCAAGUGUGCUUUAUUUAUAUUUUUCAAAGUCAUCCCAGAACCGUGUCCAGGCAACUGAAGGUCUGUCAAAGAGCCGAAAAGCCUAAUUCUGUUUAGAAGAGACAAAGGGAUUAGGUGUCCCUGGGACUUUAACCAGAGCAUUGGUGGUGGUUUUGAUUUAGGUUUCGUUUAGGGAAGGCAAGUGCAGAAAGGAUGCCAAAGAUCUGGGCUGCCAGUGUUGUGGAGAUGUUAAGAAACCGGGACACAAUGAGGUGCUGGCAGGGAUAUGAAUUAGUGUAGCCUUUUGGGGGAAAUGUUGGCAACGUGUUUCGUAACAAAUGAGUGUGACCUUAGAUGCAGUAAUUCACACACUGGAGACAGUCUUACUGCAAUAGCUACACAUAUAUGCAAGGACCUGUGUUCAGAAGUUCUCACUGCAAGGCUGGAGCUGUAGGUCAGUGGUAGGGUGCUUGCUUGCUUUGCAAGUUCAAGGCCUUGGGUUCAAGCCUUAGUACUGGAAAAAUAGUACUCAUUGAAGUAAAAAUAAAUAAAUAAAUAAAUAAAUAAUCAUCCUCAAAGAAUCAAUAAAAAUAUUAUAUUGGAAAAGAAAAUAUUCACUUGAGUCUAUUAGAGACAGGUUCAAUAGGUUAUGGUUUAUCCAAGCAUUGUAUAGGAAUUAAAGGAAAAAAAAGUAAAAACAAUGAACAAUAUACAGAUGGUACUUGGUGACCCUCCUAUUCCCAGGGCUAUCAUUUAGGGUAUUAGCUCACUUAUAAUAUUAACUGAGCCUUCACAAUAGUACUUUGGUUUCUGUUAUUAGAACUUUUUUUUUUUUGUCUUAUGGGGAAAGGGUUGUUAUGUAACUUGGCUAAGGCUCCAUCACUGCUGAGUACAGAACUCGGCUCAAACUCUCUGCCUCAGAGACACUGACCACCAUACAAUGCCUGUACAGACAUACUUUUGAUUUACCGUGAAGUGAAAGAUGCAGGCAGCAGAAAUAUAGGGCAUGAUCUUAUAUAUGUAAAAAUGAAACCGUAGACAUGUAUGUUUAUCUGGAAAAAGGAGCAGUCUGGAAGAACAUAUACAUUGGUUUAACUAUUCUUUGUAGAAAGGAAAGCAAAGUAAGCUAUUUUAAGAAGUUGCUUUUUUUGUUUUUUUGUUUUUUAGCUAGACAUUUAUACUUUUGCAGUCAUAGCCCCCCUCCCCCCAAAAAUACACACACACAGACUUUACAAGUGUAUGGAAUUAAGUCCAGGGCCUCAUGCAUGGUUGUUGUGUAACAAAAGUUCUCUGGGGAGAUGCAACACACAGGUCUCACCCCUGAUAAGAAUUCCAGGACAGAACGGUACCAUUAAAUCCAGUUUGUGAACCCAGUGAGUUUUAUUGGGGUAACUUACAUGAAUGUGAGCUAGGGGUUACUUACAGGAGCAGAAAUGACUCAAGACAGCUACAUCACCAAAGCCCCCUGAAGUAUAGGUGACAGCUCACAAAACUGGGAACCUGGAACUCACAGCACAGCCUGCUGGCAGCUCAAAGGCUUGAGGGAGUGUCCUGCCGAGGUGCCUGUGUUUGUCUAAACCUCUGCAGGCAGCUGCUCUGGUCUGUCUUCUUUGCCCUUUGUUGCUUGGCUUUGUUGGAUCUAAGGGUGACUCUCAGCUUUUAUUGAUUAUUCUGCCAGGAAGGAACCUAUUGAAUCUGUUCAGUUUCGGGAACUUCCUGAAAGUAUUCGAGUUGUUUUCCUUUCCUUCGUAAGGAGCCUCCCUUUAAAAUGGAAAGUUUCAAUUUUGGAGAAAACUGUUAUGCAACAUUUCAUAUAUACGUUUAUGCCUCCAGCUCUCUUGAACAAGUCUUUUUUAAAGAAGAAACAAACAUACAAAUAAACUCAAAUAACC